Long non-coding RNA from Maniola jurtina (meadow brown), 971 nucleotides. RefSeq lists it as uncharacterized. The record is from RefSeq and is a predicted model, not a curated record. The transcript has 2 exons. NCBI's taxonomy places the organism in Eukaryota, Metazoa, Arthropoda, Insecta, Lepidoptera, Nymphalidae.
GAGGAGAAUUUUUAUGUUUUAUUUUAACACUAAUGAACAUGUAUGCAAUAUUAUAGUAAUAACUAAUAACAAUAUCAUUAAAGGGUUUUAGGCUUAUUAUAAAGGGGUUUAUUAAGCUUUUCUUAGGACCUUGGGACACUUAAAAUUUUCCCUUAGGACUUUAUUCCAUGAAAGCGAUAUUCCUGAUGCUACAGGGUAUCUGACCACCAAGACUGAUGGGAUUUAGAAACUGUCGGUUAUAAAUUGGAAUUGGAGAUAGGUACCUACCGACUAAAGACUUUAUCGUUGAACUCAAGGACCCAAUUCCUGACCCCUGAUGCUGUACGGAAUUGCAUUCCUAAAUCGUGGUGAUCCCACGGGUUUUUUUAAGAAUCAUCCGUUUGAAUGUUUUUACGAAAUUUGGUACGGGUAAAUCGGGUACGACGGGUACGACAACCCUACGUCAUACCCGUCACUAUAAUAUAGGUACCUCAUUGUUGACAAACUGACAAAUCUUGCACAAGUACAAAAUUCAAUAAUUUUUGGAGCAAUAAAAUAAUGUAAAAUUUUAUCAAGAUAUAUUAAUAGAUACCUACCUACAUGUAAAUGGUGGCUUAAACUAGAAACCCUACAAAGAAUAAUGUGGGCAUGUUGGGCAUGUGGCAUUUCUGUUUAGUUGGGAAGAGCACCUGAUAAGGGGUCUCCAUUGGGACAGGACACGUUUGAUGGGUAUUUCAUCUUAUAGCAACAAAAGAUUAUUGGAUUAAACAGAAAUUAAAUCAUGAUAUAUGGAGUAAUAUUGACCACUCUCAUUAUAAUCUUAUGGGCGCCUUGUCUGAAAAGAGGUUUGUUGACCGAACACGGUGUGGUGUAUGCGAAGGAUCGAAAAAAUAGAAUAUUUCGUAUCUCACCGACAGGUUAUUGUUGUAGAUCUAGUAAAAGAACUUCAAACCUGUAAAUAUGUAGUUAGUUUAAUAAAUACAUAUUUUUGA